Delphinapterus leucas (beluga whale) is the source of this 270-nucleotide long non-coding RNA. RefSeq lists it as uncharacterized. The record is from RefSeq and is a predicted model, not a curated record. NCBI's taxonomy places the organism in Eukaryota, Metazoa, Chordata, Mammalia, Artiodactyla, Monodontidae.
CGCCUCCGCCUCCGCCUCCGCCCUCGCCCAGUGCUUUGGCGGCUCGGGCCUGGUCAACGCGAGCUCGGGGCUGGGUAGCCCGCGCCACCGUCAGGUUGCUAGGAUGAUUAUGCAGAUCUCUCAGAUAUAGGGAAAAAAUUCAGCCACCUCACCCAGAUUCUGCAAUCCCUACGAGGCUGCAUCUGAAAUACUGAAGAGAAACUGACCACCCAAGAUGGACAAGCAAAACAAACUAACAUACUUUAAAAACGCAAAUAGAAGUUCAAGGAC